UACGUAGGGGCUAGCGUUAUCCGGAUUUACUGGGCGUAAAGGGUGCGUAGGUGGUUUCUUAAGUCAGAGGUGAAAGGCUACGGCUCAACCGUAGUAAGCCUUUGAAGCUGGGAAACUUGAGUGCAGGAGAGGAGAGUGGAAUUCCUAGUGUAGCGGUGAAAUGCGUAGAUAUUAGGAGGAACACCAGUUGCGAAGGCGGCUCUCUGGACUGUAACUGACACUGAGGCACGAAAGCGUGGGGAGCAAACAGGAUUAGAUACCCUGGUAGUCCCUGA
This 275-nucleotide ribosomal RNA is filed under the name uncultured prokaryote. RNAcentral describes it as "partial 16S ribosomal RNA". It matches the Rfam family "Bacterial small subunit ribosomal RNA", at positions 524 to 800 of the family's 1533-position model. The record is from RNAcentral.